This 492-nucleotide long non-coding RNA is filed under the name Citrus x clementina. Its description in RNAcentral is "Citrus clementina (C. clementina) long non-coding RNA (CCLE_LNC006387)". Lineage: Eukaryota; Viridiplantae; Streptophyta; Magnoliopsida; Sapindales; Rutaceae. The record is from RNAcentral.
UGUUUAUGGCGAGACCAGAUGCCAAGCGUGCCAGAAUCUGCUCGACCGCGCGAAGGCGAGCAGAAUCCCAAGCAUUGAAGAAUUUUCUAAGGCAUGCAAUGGCUCAUCAAGUCUCAAAGCCUGUUUAUGGAGACGACCAGAUGCCAAGCGUGCCAGGAUCUGCUCGACCGCGCGAAGGCGAGCAGAAUCCCAAGCAUUGAAGAAUUUUCUACGUCAUGCAAAGGCUCACAAAGUCUCAAAGCCUUUUUAUGGCGAGACCAGAAGCCAAGCGUGCCAGGAUCUACUCGACCGCACGAAGGCGAGCAGAAUCCCAAGCAUUGAAGAAUUUUCUAAGGCAUGCAAAGGCUCAUCAAGUCUCAAAGCCUGUUUAUGGCGAGACCAGAUGCCAAGCGUGCCAGAAUCUGCUCGACCGCAAGAAGGCGAGCAGAAUCCCAAGCAUUGAAGAAUUUUCUAAGGCAUGCAAAGGCUCAUCAAGUCUCAAAGCCUGUUUAU